UUAAGAAACCGGGUCGCUACCGGUAAGUCGUCGGACUGAUGUUCCCUGGAGUAUAGUUCCUCCCACAGUUUUACUGUGUUCUGGCUCUUUACUAUCACAGCAGAAACGGCGCACCG
Molecule: unclassified non-coding RNA, 116 nt
Filed under: Enterobacteria phage T2L
Lineage: Duplodnaviria; Heunggongvirae; Uroviricota; Caudoviricetes; Pantevenvirales; Straboviridae
Description: species II RNA
Source: RNAcentral